This 210-nucleotide ribosomal RNA is filed under the name Borreliella burgdorferi (Lyme disease spirochete). RNAcentral describes it as "partial 5S-23S ribosomal RNA intergenic spacer". Lineage: Bacteria; Pseudomonadati; Spirochaetota; Spirochaetia; Spirochaetales; Borreliaceae. The record is from RNAcentral.
AGUAAGUUAUUGCCAGGGUUUUUAUUUUAUACUUUAAACAUUGAUUUUAUUUUUUAUGUUUUUAGAUGUUCAUGUUUUUGAAUGUUUUAUUUAAAUAAUAUAAAAAAUAAAAUAUAUAUUGACAUGGAUUAAACAAAGAUAUAUAUUAUUCUAUGUUGCAUAAACAAAUUGGCAAAAUAGAGAUGGAAGAUAAAAAUAUGGCAAAGAAAG